AGUAGGGAAUCUUCCGCAAUGGACGAAAGUCUGACGGAGCAACGCCGCGUGAGUGAUGAAGGUCUUCGGAUCGUAAAACUCUGUUAUCAGGGAAGAACAAGUAUCGGAGUAACUGCCGGUACCAUGACGGUACCUGACCAGAAAGCCACGGCUAACUACGUGCCAGCAGCCGCGGUAAUACGUAGGUGGCAAGCGUUGUCCGGAAUUAUUGGGCGUAAAGCGCGCGCAGGCGGUCUCUUAAGUCUGAUGUGAAAUCCCGUGGCUUAACCACGGGCGGUCAUUGGAAACUGGGGGACUUGAGUGCAGAAGAGAAGAGCGGAAUUCCACGUGUAGCGGUGAAAUGCGUAGAGAUGUGGAGGAACACCAGUGGCGAAGGCGGCUCUUUGG
RNAcentral lists this ribosomal RNA (387 nucleotides) under Lederbergia graminis. Its description in RNAcentral is "bacterial SSU rRNA". It matches the Rfam family "Bacterial small subunit ribosomal RNA", at positions 353 to 732 of the family's 1533-position model. The record is from RNAcentral. Lineage: Bacteria; Bacillati; Bacillota; Bacilli; Caryophanales; Bacillaceae.